This 252-nucleotide unclassified non-coding RNA is filed under the name uncultured Diaporthales. RNAcentral describes it as "sequence contains 5.8S rRNA gene, ITS2, 28S rRNA gene". The stretch from base 1 to 52 matches the Rfam family "5.8S ribosomal RNA", at positions 103 to 154 of the family's 154-position model. The record is from RNAcentral. Lineage: Eukaryota; Fungi; Ascomycota; Sordariomycetes; Diaporthales.
AACGCACAUUGCGCCCUCUGGUAUUCCGGAGGGCAUGCCUGUUCGAGCGUCAUUUCAACCCUCAAGCCUGGCUUGGUGAUGGGGUACUGCCUCCUAGCGGGGGCAGGCCCUGAAAUUCAGUGGCGAGCUCGCCAGGACUCCGAGCGUAGUAGUUAAACCCUCGCUCUGGAAGGACUGGCGGUGCCCUGCCGUUAAACCCCCAACUUCUGAAAAUUUGACCUCGGAUCAGGUAGGAAUACCCGCUGAACUUAA